AGAGUUUGAUCCUGGCUCAGAAUCAACGCUGGCGGCGUGCCUAACACAUGCAAGUCGAACGAGAAAGUGGAGCAAUCCAUGAGUAAAGUGGCGACCGGGUGAGUAACACGUGACUAACCUACCUUCGAGUGGGGGAUAACCUCGGGAAACCGAGGCUAAUACCGCAUAACAUCGCAAGAUCAAAGCAGCAAUGCGCUUGAAGAGGGGGUCGCGGCUGAUUAGCCAGUUGGCGGGGUAACGGCCCACCAAAGCGAAGAUCGGUAGCCGGCCUGAGAGGGCGCACGGCCACACUGGAACUGAAACACGGUCCAGACUCCUACGGGAGGCAGCAGUGGGGAAUUUUGCGCAAUGGGGGAAACCCUGACGCAGCAACGCCGCGUGGAGGAUGAAGCCCCUUGGGGCG
Molecule: ribosomal RNA, 403 nt
Filed under: uncultured bacterium
Lineage: Bacteria
Description: bacterial SSU rRNA
Rfam family: Bacterial small subunit ribosomal RNA
Source: RNAcentral